RNAcentral lists this long non-coding RNA (7884 nucleotides) under Panax ginseng (ginseng). RNAcentral's name for it is "long non-coding RNA (PGIN_LNC004759)". Lineage: Eukaryota; Viridiplantae; Streptophyta; Magnoliopsida; Apiales; Araliaceae. The record is from RNAcentral.
UUUGAUUAGCAAAUUGGGUUUGACUUGAUUUUAACUACAAUACACACCUCGGUAUUCUCCUUCCUGUAGUUGUAUUGUUUUCUUUGCUCAAUAAAUAAAAUAUAUGGAAUGAGUAUNNNNNNNNNNNNNNNNNNNNNNNNNNNNNNNNNNNNNNNNNNNNNNNNNNNNNNNNNNNNNNNNNNNNNNNNNNNNNNNNNNNNNNNNNNNNNNNNNNNNNNNNNNNNNNNNNNNNNNNNNNNNNNNNNNNNNNNNNNNNNNNNNNNNNNNNNNNNNNNNNNNNNNNNNNNNNNNNNNNNNNNNNNNNNNNNNNNNNNNNNNNNNNNNNNNNNNNNNNNNNNNNNNNNNNNNNNNNNNNNNNNNNNNNNNNNNNNNNNNNNNNNNNNNNNNNNNNNNNNNNNNNNNNNNNNNNNNNNNNNNNNNNNNNNNNNNNNNNNNNNNNNNNNNNNNNNNNNNNNNNNNNNNNNNNNNNUUCAGGCCGCCAACACUUUCUGGGGUUCCCAGGGAUGAAACGCUGCGAAUGGGCCACGUAGAAACUUGCACUGAACUUAAGAAAUUUUUUGCUGCUCUUGUGAAGCAACCCAAGUCUUCUGUACCAUUAUUGGAUACCAUCAACCUCCAAUAUGAUGCAUCAGUCAUUCCAGAAGCUUCCAGAGAAGUGGAUACCAUAUCGAACAUAAAUGAGCAAAGCAAUCCUCAUGUCCCUUUAUUGGACGCUGUCAACCUACCAGAUGAUGCUUCAGUUAUUCCAGAAGCCUCUAGAGAAGCAUAUACAACUUCCAGCGCUCAUGAGCAAAAAAAGUCGGUUUUAGACCUUCCAGGUGAUGGUUUAAUCGUUCCAGAAGCUUUGGUAGAAGUAGAUAAUGCUUCCAUAUGUCAUGAAGAAGGCCAGCCAGUGGUUUUUCCACAAGAUAGUUCAGUAUUUCCAGAAGCUGCGAAAGAAGUUGAAACUGUUUCGAAUAGUCAUGAACAAAGGAAGCCAGUUGUCAAGAUUAGAGUUAAACAGCCUGCUGCAUCCAGUAGGGCGGAGGAUGCUGAUAAUGCAACAGUUGAAAAAUCCCAGGGUGGGCGUUAUGAUGCUGAUUGUGGAGGCAGUAGUUCCAUCUCUGUGGAUGCACCACAAAGAAAUUUUACAGAGACGGUCAGUGUAAGUAAUCAAAACCUUGAGGAUGUAAAUUCGUGCCAUGAUGUUGGGUCUCGGGUGACUGCCAGCAUUGGAAGUGCCAAGCUAGCUAGUGACGGUGAUGAACUUCAGAAGGAACUCCAGUGCACCGCUGAUUCAAGCAAAGUUUCUGUAUUAUCACCACCUGAAGAUCGGUUAUUGCCUGUUAUCAUGAGAACCAAUGAUGAGACAGAAAAUCAUAAAUUUGCCAGUCUUCAGGCAAUUUCUGGGAUAAGAAAUGGUCUCGAUAGUGGUUUAUUGGUGGUGGAGAACCCUCAUGUGUGUAGUAAAGAGAAAGAAAAGAAAUCCAAAGAAAAAAAACGAAAGAGACACGACCACAAAGGCAGCCGUGAUGAUCCAGAGUACAUUGAACGAAAGCGUCUGAAGAAGGAAAAGAAGCAGAAAGCAAAGGAGAUUGCAAAACUUCAGAGUAGGGAGGCGACUCCAUCUUUAGUGGACUUGCAAAACAAAAGAGAGAAAUCUAGAGUUAGACUAGAAUCGGUUAGCCAGGAGGCCAAGACGAAUGUAAUUGAGAUGUAUAGGAUGAAUGAAGAUUCUGAAACUAGGUUGGCAGUAGAGGGAGGAGUGCAAAAACCGACUCCCUUGGAGCUGCAUAGUAGGAAAGAGGAUCUUCCAACUAAAACGGCGACUGUGCAAAUUAAAUUGGGUGAACCCAGUGGAUCUAAAGAAGUGAUAAAGGGGAUGGAUACCAGUGUUAAGGGGCCAGAAGUUGGCUCGUCUCAUAAGAUUAAAAUUAAGCUAAAACGUAGAACAGGAAACAAACCGUAAUGCUUCUUUUAAUGCAAAAUGUAUUCAUUAGUUUCAUGAGGUUGUCUGUAAAUUUGUAUUUGACGAAUCUGAAGAGAGAUAAUCUUUGGCCUGGAUGCAGCUGAUAAAAGGAAUUGAAUUUCCUUUUGAUAAUUUUUUAUUUCUAAAUUUUAGGGGUUUUUUUGGGUACAUUUUAAUGGGAGGUGAGUAAGGUAUUCUAAACUCUGCGAGAUUGAUUUCCGAUGUGCAUUUUAGAGUGAAAGCAAAUUUAGCUUUUCACUUGGGGUUAACACUUGAAAUCUUAUUAAUUGGUGAAGUACUUUGGAAAGUUGAUGUCGAGUUCUUCCAUAUGCUGUUGUAAUUAUCCAAAAGCUCUAAUGACCUUGUUAACCCGUGCAAUAUGGUAGAAUGAGUUAGUAGUCAAAUGUGAGCUUUGUUUGAUUCAUUGAUUCUAGUGUUUUAUUUAAUUAAGUGUAGAUACACCCGAAUAUUAUUUUUAAAAUAAAUUUAAUUUCAAUUUUAAUAUUGUAAAUGUACUUGAGAAAAUGGAAUUUGUGGUUUGUCAUACUCAAAUUUGGCCGCAUAUACACUUAUUGAUGGUAUUUUUGUUUUUUCAUAGUUCUAUUAAUGACAUUAUAUACGCAUUUCACUUUUUUAAUAUUAAUGCUAUGUUGUUUAAACUUUCUGAUAUACUUGACCGCAUGCUUGAAUGAGUUGAUCGUCUGGAUCGUUUUUAGCAAAGUUACAAGGGUGGAACUCUUUCGAUACCUUAACUUAACGCCUAUAAAGAGACGAGAAUCUUGGUACAAUCGAUCAAGUAAUGAAUUCUGCAUUGAAUGGAAUAUCAAUGACACCUUGAUCCCUCGCUUAUAUGUAAGCGGUAACUUUGGUACAAUCAACGAUUGAUGCGGUAGAAAACGUCACACACAACUAUGUAUUGUUGUAUAGUGAGUCAAUAUUGAAUCUCAAGAAAACUAAGAACUAGUCUAGUAAUUCUGAAAGAAUCAAAAGAUUGAGAAAAACCUUACAAAAUCGAUUUUAUUAAAUAAUUUGAAUUGUUUCAAUUACAUCAACUUUAUCCUUUAUUUGUACUACUUAAAAUAGUCCUAAUCUUAAAAAUAAAAGAAAUAAAUUACAUAACAAUCCAACUUAAAAUUAGAAUGAAAAACCUAACUAAAUAAAAUCUUAAUUACAUUCUAGAAUUCAAGAAUCAGAUUGAAAAUUGAAAUUGAAUCGCAUAAUUUCCGUAUACUAGAACUUUCCUUGACACGUUCGGAUUGUAAUGGCCGCGUGAAUUCUAUGUGAAUUGAAUAAGAAUGCCGCCCACGUUGGCAUACAAGAAUAUAUACUCCCUCCAUCCCAUAAUAUAUGACGUUUUAGAAUUGUGCACAAGAAUUAAGGAAAUAGUUGAAAAACAUUAAAUAUAGUAUCAAUUGUCUAUAAUACCCUUAAAUUCUCAUUUAUUAUCAUACUUAUUUUAUACUAUCUCUCAUCUGUAACAUUUUCCCAUGAGGGAUAAUUUUGAAAAAAUUAUAAUUAAUUCUCCUAAAUUUUUUAAAACGUCAAAUAAUCUGAGACAAAUAAAAUCACCUAAAACUUCAUAUAUUAUGGGAUAUGAGGAGUAAUAUGAAGCUCAAGUAACUUCAUAGUUGCUGCUGAAUAUAAAUAUAAUAUGUGGCCCCACAUAAUAUAUAUAUAUAUAUAUAUAUAUAUAUAUAUAUAUAUAUAUAUAUAUGUAUAUAUAUACACACACACAGUAACUCAGAUUAAUGGAUGCAAUUAUUUAAAUAUAUGAGUCAUAGAACCCUAGAUCUACAAUAAAAUAUGCACUAAAUAUUUGGGGAUUGGAGUUUAGAAAGAAAUUUUAAAAAAUUAGGGAUUGAAGAUUUAAGAAAUUACUAAUUAGAGUUUGUUUAAAUAAAUAAGGACUACAGAUUGAAGGAUAGCAACAAAAUAUGAAAUCAAACAAGAAAAUAUAAAGAGAAAAACAUAUUACAUAACCUGUUUAGAACUUAUCGCAAAAAGAAGAGCCAACGUGGGGGUGGAGAAAGAAGAAUUUGGGUUGAGAACAGGAGAUGGAAGAUUGAGGCGUAUGAUUAAUGAAGAACAGAAGAAGAUAAUAGACUACACCAACAAAUAUACUAAUCUUGGACUUCACAAUCUGACAUCCACUUAUAUGGAGGCCAUCGGGGUUUAGUGUUUACAUUCUGUUUUUAAGUUUUAAGUUUUGAUUAGUUUUGUAUUUAAUUUAGAUUCUUAGAAUAUCUAAUAAUCAAACUAUAUAAGACUUGUUUAGGAAUAGGAUAUAAUAUAUUUCAUAUUAUUAUAUAUAUUAAAUUAGUAGUAGUGGUCAAUAUUAUUAGUUAUUUAUUUCAUGAUUAGUCUAAUACUACUUUCAAGUAACCCAAAAAAAAGGAGGAAGAUAUUACUAUUUUCGUAAUUAAUUAAUUGUUUUCAUAUUUUUGCAUUUUUUGCUUUUAGGUGAAACAAAAGGAAAAAAGUACUUCAUCUAUUUCAUAAAGAGUCUUAUUUUAGAUUUUUUUAUGAUGAAAUUGUAAAAUUCUAAUAAUUAAAAUAAUGUGAAUUUAGUUGAUUUAGUUUAAUUCAAUAUUUAAUAGACUAAUAUUAUUAACCUUGAAAUGUAUUAGUACCAAAUACAGGGCGGAUCCAGCCCCUUGGUUCAGUGGGGUUAAAUUUGAAAAAAAAAAUCAAUAAAAAUAAAAGUAUAAUACAAUAAAUCACAAAAUUAAGUAAUGCUCAUAUAUUGUUUACAAUAAUAUUUUUCGAGACUCCAUAACUAGAAAUUGUUGUAUGAUAGCCUCAUUUUUUAAUAGCUACAAAAAUAUCAUAUUCAAUAAUGUAAGUUACUAAACAAUCAGUCAUCUAUUCAUCUUUGAAUUUUAAUUUUUUUGAUGGAUCGACGUUAUAAAAUAUAAUGAUUUCCUCAUUUUAAACAAUUGUAAAAAUUCACAAACAAUUACUAAAUUUGUGAAAUUAUAAAAAAGAAAAAUUAAAGAAUUCUUCUUUGACGAGUUAACAUUGUGGCUAAAUAACUGAAAAAGAAAUAACAGGGUGCGUACAAAUUUGAGACAAUCAUUAAUUUUUUAGGUAAAUUAUAUAGAGGGGGAGAGUUAGGGGGAGGGGUCUUUUAUCAUCAUUUGAUUUUUUCUGAUAACCUCGUAGAAGUGCAAGCCCACUACACUCCUAUCCUAAUUAAUCUUCAUAAUCUCCAUAACUUCCGAGGCUAGCAACCACCAUGCUUCAAAGCGAGUUGGUCUGGGAUAAAAUUCACUUGUCUGACAGUGUUCAUGAGUAAAAUGACUGUGGUCCGACUUGAAAAUUGAUAGAUUAAAAUAUUAAUUUUUCGGGAACAUUCAUUUUUUGGGAAGGAGGACAAAUUGACCCCCUGAAAAUUUAGUGGGGUCAAUUGACCCCCCUGAAGUGGAUCCGCCCCUGACCAAAUACUUCCUCCGUUCUAAAAUAUAAUCAAUAAGAUCAACUGAUCAACUGACUAAGAAUAAAUUUUCAAAGUCGAUAGGAAAUAUUUUUAAUUCAAAAGGGAUGCAAUAAUUAACUUUUGAAUACAAUAAAUCUUGAGAAUUACUUUAUAAAAAGUUUAUAAUUUUCAUAAUUAUAGUGUUUAUAACUAAAUAAAUUAAUUACGAUUCUAAGAUCAAAGGCUCAAAGCCAUUUAGAGACUUAGUUUCAUUUUUUAAAAAAAAACCUUUUUGCUUAUUCUAAUUUAAAUUAAUAAUUUCUUUUAAUUACAUGCAAACGGUACUGUGACAUAUUGUUUAAUUGGAUUAUUAAAUACUACUUUUUACACUAAAUAUGAUUACUUAAUUGCAUAAAUCAAAGUAAGCCAACCAUUCUCUCUCACUGUCUCACAUAUACACUGAAAGUCUGCAACACUAAAAAAUUGGUGAAAUCAAGUUUGCGCUUUUAAUUAUAUAGUUGAUAGGUGAUGUAAUAUACAAUAGUAAUUGUACAAUAACUAUUAGUGAAGUCUUGAUACAUUGAUGACUUGAUUUCUUUAUUCUCUAUCUCGAUUUGGCAAUUUCAAUAACUCAUGUAAAUGUAAGCAAUUGUAUUAUAUUAUUCUUUAAUUAAUGUCAAAUUGUCAUUGCGCGAUUAUUAUGACUUUAUUUAUGUAAUUUAUGACAUGAGUUAUAAUUUAUUAAAUUAUUAGUGAUGUAAAUUGUAAUAAUCCAACAAUCAUUGUUAAUUUUUUUAUAAAAAUAUUAAAUUUUUUUUAAUUAAAUUAGAGGUGAAGAAGUACACAUUAUUAUUUAAUAAUUUUUUUUACUCAUAAUCAAUUAUUAAAAAAACAAAAAAGAUGUUUAAGUAAAGAAAAAAGAAAAUUAUUACAAAUUUAACAAUUAUUGAUAAGACAAACUUUAGAAUUUAAUAUGAAAUAACUAACUAUUUGUAUUUAGAAUUUAAAAACACUAAACAUGUAAGAAAUACAAUUCGAACUCGAGCAUCUCACGAGCCGCUUGCAAACCAAUCGAACCGAACUGUUUGCAAACAAAGUCAAACCGAACCACAUGGUUAGCGAACAUGAUCGAUUGAGCAAUCGAACGUGAUACCAUGUGCGAACCCGACCUGACAAGGUGAUCAACUCGAACCGAACUCGAACCAAACUCAAACUGAACAUGUUCACGAACGGUUCGUUUGCAGGCCUAUCAGGGAGUAAACGGACCAAAUAAAUCUGCCUACUCCAGCUCCGAGUCUAUAAUUGCAUUGCCAUAUCCUGAAUAUAAGUCAUGGGUCAUUACUUCCCCGGUGCCCAUGUUGGGGUUAAUUUCUAUGAUAAGAUUUUCAAUAGAAGUACACAGGAUAAGUUGUAGGCUUUUACAAUUUAGUCACUGAAUAUAUAUACGAAUCUGGAUUUUGUUCCUUAUUAAGGAAGAAUUUUUAUACGAGUUCCAAGAUUAUGUUCAAUUUGCUCUAAAAUUUCUUGGCAAUUUAAAAGGUUUAACUCCUUAACGCAUGAAUUGUUCUUCUUGCAUAUUUUCUCCUUGUAUGUGUAGUCUAAUUGGUGCAAGUGAUAGGGGACCUAGUUAUGAUAUUUGCUUCUUCAUGUUGUGUCAUUUUUGCUCAGUGGCUAAGGUUUAGCAUUUGUUGGUUUCUCAGCAUUCCUUGACUAUUAUGAUGUGCCCUACAAAGUUGUGGAGGUGAAUCCACUAAGCAAGAAGGAAAUCAAAUGGUCUGAUUAUAAGAAGGUGCCUAUAUUGAUGGUGGAUGGUGAACAGCUGAAUGAUUCAUCAGGUUCUUACCAUCAUUACCCCAAGUGAUUUAUAUUUUUCUUGUUCUUGUUAGUUGGAUUUCUGAUAUUAAAUGUACUACACAGCAACAAGGAGAUUAUUGAUCUAUUGCUAGUUCCUUUUGCGGGAAUAAUAUUUCCACAUGGAAACUUUUAUAUUUCCACAAGGUCCUCCAUAUAGUAAAUGGAUCCCACUUUUAUCUGUUUAUGUGAGAAAUUAACUUAUGAAAGAUCAAAUUCCCUUGUGGAAAUAAAAUCCUUUUGCCCUCUUUUCUAAUAAGUCGUAUUCUGGCCUUCUUGCAGCAAUUAUUAAUAAAUUGGGCGAAAAAAUUAAUCCCGAGAAAUCUGUUAAAGCAGUCCCAGAUGACGAUGAAGAGAGAAAGUGGCGCCGGUAUUUUGUAUUUUAUUUUGUAUUUCUUUAUAGCACAUGCUCAACUUUCAAAUAAUUAAAUGAGUUAGUUUGAUUAGCAAAUUGGGUUUGACUUGAUUUUAACUACAAUACACACCUCGGUAUUCUCCUUCCUGUAGUUGUAUUGUUUUCUUUGCUCAAUAAAUAAAAUAUAUGGAAUGAGUAUACAUGUGGCUGUCUGGAUAAUGUUGAUGAUAGGGUUCUCUGCUGGUUAAUUAUACAACCUCUGUCCCUCAAAGAUUGAUUCAAGUGCAAAAAUUUUUUUGCCCUCGAAAGAAUGGC